UGUAGUCCAGGAACCGCUUUUGCAUAACCUCAGUAGAUAAAGCAUGCUGAGGUCAUGUCAGAUCAUUUCAAGCUCUUCUGUGUCGAGCUGAGGAGCUGCUCUGUGCCCGGCUUACAGAACUGGAAGGGGGAGCCACCUUCCGCCUGAUGGAGGCUGGAGAACGGAUGGAACCUGGAUCCCUGGAGCCUGGGACACUACCUCGCUGCGGUUGGUGGUGGCCACAGACCAGUAGGAGGGCGGCUGGCAGCGGGAGCUUCUUCUGCCGGGCUGGAGGACUAGGAGAAGGGAGAGGGAACGCCACAUGCUGGAGGCUGGAGCCUGUGCCACCGUGGCUCACCUCGAUGUGGUUGGUGGCAGCUCGCCUUGCUGUGGUUGGUGGUGACGUCGGAGACUGCAGCUCGGCCACAGUGGUAGAAAUGUGUUGGGGUAGCUUUUGCUGUGUUGGGCACUUGCUCCCAUCUGCUUGCUUCUCUAGAAUCCACUGCCCUAGAAUGAGUAAUUUUUCUUAGAAGCAGAGUUGGAACCACUGAGGAAGCACAGUAGGUCACUAAAGAAGCAGUUCCUUGAAAAACUGAAUUUCUAUUGUCUCUGUCAGAAAAAAAUCAUUCAUUAGCAGGAGAAGAACAGCAAGAGAUCAAUCACAUAAUCUUGAGAAGGUCUAGCAUGGCGGAUGCUGCGGCUACUGGUCCAGGAAGCACAUUUUGAGAACCACUCAGCUAGAAGAUUAUUGCAUUCAUCCAGGUUCCUGCUGAAGUCUGAGGGGAAAAGGGGAUUCUGGAAGGCGGAGAAAUGGAUGGAUCCUGUGGAGAGGCCAGACAGCUUCCGAGCAGCUGAGAAAGAAGGAAGUCAGCCAAGGUCUGAAAGAAGAGAGAUAGAUGCUGGAGAGCAUUUAAAUGAAAAGAAUUUAACCAGAAGUAUCGGCAGAAGUAAAAGAAAAGCCAUGUUGGGGGAACCUAAAGAUUAGCCACAAAGGUUAAGGGAAAGGAGGGAGGAGAGGAGACGUUACUGCAGCCUGUGAAGGCCAGAGCAAGAGGCGUGGCCGUGGAAAGUGCAGGAAGUAUGGCUAUGGAGAGUGCUGGGGUGUGGCUGUGGUGGGUGCAGGAAGCGUGGCUGUGGAGCGGGUGUGGUUAUGGACGGAGUGUGGCUGUGGAGGGGGUGUGACUGUGGAGGGUGCUGAGUGUGG
RNAcentral lists this long non-coding RNA (1183 nucleotides) under Homo sapiens (human). Its description in RNAcentral is "HSALNT0353423". Lineage: Eukaryota; Metazoa; Chordata; Mammalia; Primates; Hominidae. The record is from RNAcentral.